Molecule: ribosomal RNA, 250 nt
Filed under: uncultured bacterium
Lineage: Bacteria
Description: partial 16S ribosomal RNA
Rfam family: Bacterial small subunit ribosomal RNA
Source: RNAcentral
UACGGGGGGUGCAAGCGUUGUUCGGAUUUAUUGGGCGUAAAGCGCGUGUAGGCGGUUUUAUAAGUCUGAUGUGAAAGCCCUGGGCUCAACCUGGGAAGUGCAUUGGAUACUGUAGGACUUGAAUACGGGAGAGGGCAGUGGAAUUCCUGGUGUAGGAGUGAAAUCCGUAGAUAUCAGGAGGAACACCGGUGGCGAAGGCGGCUGCCUGGACCGAUAUUGACGCUGAGACGCGAAAGCGUGGGUAGCAAAC